UGAGGGAAAGGUGAAAAGUACCCCGGGAGGGGAGUGAAAAGAACAUGAAACCAUAAACUUACAAGCAGUAGGAGGACGACUAAAACGUCUAACUUCGUGCCUGUUGAAGAAUGAGCCGGCGACUUAUAAGUAGUGGCAGGUUAAAGCAGAGAAUGCUGAAGCCAUAGUGAAAGCGAGCCUGAAUAGGGCGUACGUCACUGUUUAUAGACCCGAACCCGGAUGAUCUAACCAUGGCCAGGUUGAAGCUUAGGUAAUACUAAGUGGAGGACCGAACCGACUGAUGUUGAAAAAUCAGCGGAUGAGUUGUGGUUAGGGGUGAAAUGCCAAUCGAAUUCGGAGCUAGCUGGUUCUCCCCGAAAUGCGUUUUGGCGCAGCGGUAAAUGUUAUAAUUUAGGGGUAAAGCACUGUUACG
Molecule: ribosomal RNA, 412 nt
Filed under: Euplotes focardii
Lineage: Eukaryota; Ciliophora; Spirotrichea; Euplotida; Euplotidae
Description: partial Bacterial large subunit ribosomal RNA
Rfam family: Bacterial large subunit ribosomal RNA
Source: RNAcentral